UGGGGAAUUUUGGACAAUGGGCGAAAGCCUGAUCCAGCAAUGCCGCGUGUGUGAAGAAGGCCUUCGGGUUGUAAAGCACUUUUGUCCGGAAAGAAAUCCUUGGCUCUAAUACAGUCGGGGGAUGACGGUACCGGAAGAAUAAGCACCGGCUAACUACGUGCCAGCAGCCGCGGUAAUACGUAGGGUGCAAGCGUUAAUCGGAGUUACUGGGCGUAAAGCGUGCGCAGGCGGUUUGCUAAGACCGAUGUGAAAUCCCCGGGCUCAACCUGGGAACUGCAUUUGGUGACUGGCAGGCUAGAGUAUGGCAGAGGGGGGUAGAAUUCCACGUGUAGCAGUGAAAUGCGUAGAGAUGUGGAGGAAUACCGAUGGCGAAGGCAGCCCCCUGGGCCAAUACUGACGCUCAUGCACGAAAGCGUGGGGAGCAAACAGGAUUAGAUACCCUGGUAGUCCACGCCCUAAACGAUGUCAACUAGUUGUUGGGGGAUUCAUUUCCUUAGUAACGUAGCUAACGCGUGAAGUUGACCGCCUGGGGGAGUACGGUCGCAAGAUUAAAACUCAAAGGAAUUG
RNAcentral lists this ribosomal RNA (567 nucleotides) under uncultured bacterium. RNAcentral's name for it is "partial 16S ribosomal RNA". It matches the Rfam family "Bacterial small subunit ribosomal RNA", at positions 355 to 912 of the family's 1533-position model. The record is from RNAcentral.